GGCCUAACACAUGCAAGUCGAACGGUAACAGGUCUUCGGACGCUGACGAGUGGCGAACGGGUGAGUAAUACAUCGGAACGUGCCCAGUCGUGGGGGAUAACUACUCGAAAGAGUAGCUAAUACCGCAUACGAUCUGAGGAUGAAAGCGGGGGACCUUCGGGCCUCGCGCGAUUGGAGCGGCCGAUGGCAGAUUAGGUAGUUGGUGGGAUAAAAGCUUACCAAGCCGACGAUCUGUAGCUGGUCUGAGAGGACGACCAGCCACACUGGGACUGAGACACGGCCCAGACUCCUACGGGAGGCAGCAGUGGGGAAUUUUGGACAAUGGGCGA
RNAcentral lists this ribosomal RNA (329 nucleotides) under Delftia acidovorans. RNAcentral's name for it is "bacterial SSU rRNA". It matches the Rfam family "Bacterial small subunit ribosomal RNA", at positions 46 to 378 of the family's 1533-position model. The record is from RNAcentral. Lineage: Bacteria; Pseudomonadati; Pseudomonadota; Betaproteobacteria; Burkholderiales; Comamonadaceae.